Molecule: ribosomal RNA, 466 nt
Filed under: uncultured bacterium
Lineage: Bacteria
Description: partial 16S ribosomal RNA
Rfam family: Bacterial small subunit ribosomal RNA
Source: RNAcentral
GAUGAACGCUGGCGGCGUGCUUAACACAUGCAAGUCGAACGGUGAAAGAGAGCUUGCUCUCUGGAUCAGUGGCGAACGGGUGAGUAACACGUGAGCAAUCUGCCCCUGACUCUGGGAUAAGCGCUGGAAACGGCGUCUAAUACCGGAUACGAGCUGCGAAGGCAUCUUCAGCAGCUGGAAAGAACUUCGGUCAGGGAUGAGCUCGCGGCCUAUCAGCUAGUUGGUGAGGUAACGGCUCACCAAGGCGUCGACGGGUAGCCGGCCUGAGAGGGUGACCGGCCACACUGGGACUGAGACACGGCCCAGACUCCUACGGGAGGCAGCAGUGGAGAAUAGUGCACAAUGGGCGAAAGCCUGAUGCAGCAACGCCGCGCGAGGGACGACGGCCUUCGGGUUGUAAACCUCUUUUAGCAGGGAAGAAGCGAAAGUGACGGUACCUGCAGAAAAAGCACCGGCUAACUACGUG